UACGUAGGGUGCAAGCGUUGUCCGGAAUUAUUGGGCGUAAAGAGCUCGUAGGCGGUCUGUCACGUCUGCUGUGAAAACUCGGGGCUUAACCCCGGGCCUGCAGUGGGUACGGGCAGACUAGAGUGCGGUAGGGGAGACUGGAAUUCCUGGUGUAGCGGUGAAAUGCGCAGAUAUCAGGAGGAACACCAAUAGCGAAGGCAGCUCGCUGGGACGAUACUGACGCUAAGGCGCGAAAGCGUGGGGAGCGAACAGG
Molecule: ribosomal RNA, 253 nt
Filed under: uncultured bacterium
Lineage: Bacteria
Description: partial 16S ribosomal RNA
Rfam family: Bacterial small subunit ribosomal RNA
Source: RNAcentral